RNAcentral lists this ribosomal RNA (1511 nucleotides) under uncultured bacterium. Its description in RNAcentral is "partial 16S ribosomal RNA". It matches the Rfam family "Bacterial small subunit ribosomal RNA". The record is from RNAcentral.
GAGUUCGAUCCUGGCUCAGAUUGAACGCUGGCGGUAUGCUUUACACAUGCAAGUCGAACGGCAGCACGGGGCAACCUGGUGGCGAGUGGCGAACGGGUGAGUAACAUAUCGGAACAUGUCCGGAAGUGGGGGAUAACGUAGCGAAAGUUACGCUAAUACCGCAUAUGCCCUGAGGGGGAAAGGGGGGGAUCGCAAGACCUCUCGCUUUCGGAGUGGCCGAUAUCGGAUUAGCUAGUAGGUGAGGUAAAGGCUCACCUAGGCGACGAUCCGUAGCUGGUCUGAGAGGACGACCAGCCACACUGGAACUGAGACACGGUCCAGACUCCUACGGGAGGCAGCAGUGGGGAAUUUUGGACAAUGGGGGCAACCCUGAUCCAGCCAUACCGCGUGAGUGAAGAAGGCCUUCGGGUUGUAAAGCUCUUUCGGCAGGAAAGAAAUCGUGCAGGCUAAUAUCCUGUAUGGAUGACGGUACCUGAAGAAGAAGCACCGGCUAACUACGUGCCAGCAGCCGCGGUAAUACGUAGGGUGCGAGCGUUAAUCGGAAUUACUGGGCGUAAAGCGUGCGCAGGCGGUUUUGUAAGACAGACGUGAAAUCCCCGGGCUUAACCUGGGAACUGCGUUUGUGACUGCAAGGCUAGAGUGUAGCAGAGGGGGGUAGAAUUCCACGUGUAGCAGUGAAAUGCGUAGAUAUGUGGAGGAAUACCGAUGGGCGAAGCAGCCCCCUGGGCUAACACUGACGCUCAUGCACGAAAGCGUGGGGAGCAAAACAGGAUUAGAUACCCUGGUAGUCCACCCCCUAAACAAUGUCAACUAGGUGUUUGGGGAAGAAGACUUCUUUUAUACCGCAGCCUUACCGCGCUAAGUUUGACCGCCCGGGGGAGUCCGGCCGCAAAGAUUUAAAACUCAAAGGGAUUUGCGGGGGCCUUGCACCAGCGGGGGAGCCAUGUGGUUUAAUUCGAAGCAACGCGCAGAAACCUACCCAGCGUUUGACAUGGCUAGUAUGUUUUCCAGAGAUGGAUUACUUCAGUUCGGCUGGCUAGCACACAGGUGCUGCAUGGCUGUCGUCAGCUCGUGUCGUGAGAUGUUGGGUUAAGUCCCGCAACGAGCGCAACCCUCGACUUUAGUUACCAUCAUUUAGUUGGGUACUCUAAAGUAACCGCCGGUGAUAAGCCGGAGGAAGGUGGGGAUGACGUCAAGUCCUCAUGGCCCUUACGCGCUGGGCUACACACGUGCUACAAUGGCGACUACAGUGGGCAGCAAUCCCGCGAGGGUGAGCUAAUCUCCAAAAGUCGUCUCAGUUCGGAUUGCACUCUGCAACUCGAGUGCAUGAAGGCGGAAUCGCUAGUAAUCGCGGAUCAGCAUGCCGCGGUGAAUACGUUCCCAGGCCUUGUACACACCGCCCGUCACACCAUGGGAGUUGGAUUCACCCGAAGGCGUUGCGCUAACCCGUAAGGGAGGCAGGCGACCACGGUGGGUUUAGCGACUGGGGUGAAGUCGUAACAAGGUAACCG